GCAGCAAUUCUAAUCAGAACUUGUCUCCAUCGCUCUUUCUCCUUUGCAAUUUCUUGCUGCAGAUCUUUAUCAAUUGUCACAUUUUUACUUAGCCUCAGUCUUACCUCAUUCCAAGUAUUCAUGUUAGUGAUAUGCUCAACACUAUUCUCAUGAAGUUUGAGCUUCUCACUUAGAUGCUUCCAGUCCAUUAGUCCUUCAGAUGCUAGUAAACUUUUGCUACUUUCAGACUUGAACAAUUUGUAGCAAAAACAGUAAACUUUAUUCACAUGUUUCGAGUACACCAACCACUUCCGAUCACUGACCUCCCCAUUACUAAGCUUUCUUGAGUAG
RNAcentral lists this ribosomal RNA (330 nucleotides) under Triticum aestivum (bread wheat). RNAcentral describes it as "partial small subunit ribosomal RNA". The record is from RNAcentral. Lineage: Eukaryota; Viridiplantae; Streptophyta; Magnoliopsida; Poales; Poaceae.